CACACACACACACACACACACACACACACACACACACACACACACACACACACACACACACACACACACUUGCUCCGUCUCAGGCUGCUGUGUUCUAACAAGAUGGCAUCAGGUCAUCUCUCAGAUCCUGAUAGUGAAGAGUUCUGCUGCUGCUGCUGCUGCUGCUGAUGCUGAUGAUGAUGAUGAUGAUGAUGAAGGAUACGAUAUGAUACGAUAUGUUCAAGCUGUGAUUCUUCGACACAAACUGAUAAUGAUACUAAACACGUUCCUCUCCAUCUAACAGCACCUGUCAGGUCUGGAUGCUGAUUGGUCAGACGAACAUGCUGAUACCUCAGUAACAAUGCUGGUGAAGUUUUCUGUGUGUGUGUGUGUGUGUGUGUGUGUGUGUGUGUGUGUGUGUGUGUGUGUGUGUGUGUGUGUGUGUGUGUGUGUGUGUGUCUCCAGUGUCACAGUCACAGGUGGAACUUCAGGACAGAACAAAAUACAAGCUGAGAUUUUUUCAUGUUAAACUGCAGUGAGAGAAUAAAGUUCAGCUGGUGAAGGAUUGUGUGUUUAUAGCUGCUAUAACCUUCUGACAACAGGAAGUUCUGACAACAGGAAGUUCUGACAACAGGAAGUUCUGACAACAGGAAGUUCUGACAACAGGAAGUUCUGACAACAGGAAGUUCUGACAGCAGGAAGUUCUGACAGCAGGAAGUGACUCACUUCACCAGCAUUGUUACUGAGAAGAUAAAGCCAUCACAUGUUCACACAUGACUGAGCCUGUCACCAUUACUGUAUUUACUCUCCAGCUCUGACCUGCACGUGACCUUCAGACAUUACACAGAAAUCACUUCGAGAUGCCGGGCGACCCACGGACACCACGAUGGAGAAGAAAAAGGGUGCCAUUCAGCGAGCGGCUGGACCAAUUCCAUCUCCGGCUGCUAAAAUUAAUCGGACGUCUCCCUAAGAAAGUAAAUAAGACGUGCCUUCACUAUAAUGGCUACGGAGGGAUGGAGGACGAGAUGAUAAAUGAAUGGAAGCGGCUUGAUGAACGGGUCUUUUUUAUUAUCCAUAACAAGCCAGGAACAGCAUCAAUAAUGGAGAGGAUCAGAUGUCGCCCUGAGAUAUGGAGAAAGAAAAAGAGAGAGAGAGAGAGAGAGAGAGAGAGAGAGAGAGAGAGAGAGAGAGAGAGAGAGAGAUUUAACAAUGCUAAGCCAAUCACAGACUUCGGUACAGUCAUGUGACCUGACAUGGUACACUGUAGACCAGAUACAGGAUGCUGUGACUGCCAGGUGAUGGCUGUGGCCCUGCGUAUGAGUCCUGUGACUGAUCAUUAACACAGUGUUCAGUCUUGGCCUAAAUCCUGGGUUCCUCAUGUGAAGACUGCUCUAAAUAAAACAAAGGAUAAACCAACAUGAAGACCAGAAAGCAGUGUGAGGGAGAAAAAAGAGCAAUAAUCACAAAUUCAUGACGUGUGACGUGUAGCAGUGACAGUGUAAUGAGUCUGUCUGUGUUUUCCUUUGUUUCUGUCUGCUGAUUGGCCCUGUCGUUAACUGUUUGCUCCGCCCACUUCUUGAUUACCAUGGACACUAAUUGUACUCAAUCUUUCCUCCAGGU
Long non-coding RNA from Tachysurus fulvidraco (yellow catfish), 1599 nucleotides. RefSeq lists it as uncharacterized. The record is from RefSeq and is a predicted model, not a curated record. Lineage: Eukaryota; Metazoa; Chordata; Actinopteri; Siluriformes; Bagridae. The transcript is spliced from 4 exons.